Molecule: non-coding RNA, 645 nt
Organism: Oryctolagus cuniculus (rabbit)
Lineage: Eukaryota; Metazoa; Chordata; Mammalia; Lagomorpha; Leporidae
Source: RefSeq, a predicted model, not a curated record
UGCUGAGCCUUUGUGUGUGUGGUGGUUGUGGGGGGGUAAUCAGGGUUACAUACGCUCAUCAGCACAGAGCCCUAAUGAUUGGGUCAUGGUUGCUGCAUAAAGGGGGGUGGGGAAGAGAGAUUGCAGAGGACAUAACAUCUGCACGCCCUGUUCCUGCCUUGUGAUGUGCCCUACCACCUUAAUGCUGCCAGCAAAAAGGUCUUCACCAGACACAGUCCCUCAACCUUGGACCCCCAGACCUGCGAGCCAACGUCGACCUCUUUUUUGAUUACCUCACCCAGCCUCAGGCCACUUCCCACAAGCCUCCCAGCUUCAAAUCACCGCUAAAGGGAGGAGCAUAUGAUGGUAUCUCCUUGCUGGACCUCACAUCUGCACCCUGAAGCUGUUCUCCACACUCGGGGAUCACACAGGCCCCUUCAGUUACCUGUUUCUGCAGCAUCGACCCAGGACUCAUGAGGGAAGGACAGAAACUGUUGUGCCCUCCAGAGAAUCCAGCCGGUGCUUGGUCAUGCAGCUGUGGUGUGAUCCCAUAAGAGCAAGGGCCCUUGCCCUGCCCACCUGCUUGGUCACCACCUGACACCCCAAAGUAUGGCACCAUGGCAGGCUGAGUGCUUUCAACUGAAUGAAAGGGGCUCAGAAGAAAGA